Molecule: transfer RNA, 74 nt
Filed under: Erinaceus europaeus (western European hedgehog)
Lineage: Eukaryota; Metazoa; Chordata; Mammalia; Eulipotyphla; Erinaceidae
Rfam family: tRNA
About the family: Transfer RNA (tRNA) molecules are approximately 80 nucleotides in length. Their secondary structure includes four short double-helical elements and three loops (D, anti-codon, and T loops). Further hydrogen bonds mediate the characteristic L-shaped molecular structure. tRNAs have two regions of fundamental functional importance: the anti-codon, which is responsible for specific mRNA codon recognition, and the 3' end, to which the tRNAs corresponding amino acid is attached (by aminoacyl-tRNA synthetases). tRNAs cope with the degeneracy of the genetic code in two manners: having more than one tRNA (with a specific anti-codon) for a particular amino acid; and 'wobble' base-pairing, i.e. permitting non-standard base-pairing at the 3rd anti-codon position.
Source: Rfam by way of RNAcentral
GGAGGUGUAGCUCAGUGAAGUAGAGCACAUAUAUGAUAUAUCUGAGUCCCUGGGUUCAAUCCCUUGCAACUCCU